RNAcentral lists this transfer RNA (76 nucleotides) under Candidatus Carbonibacillus altaicus. RNAcentral's name for it is "tRNA-Thr". It matches the Rfam family "tRNA". From Rfam's summary of the family: Transfer RNA (tRNA) molecules are approximately 80 nucleotides in length. Their secondary structure includes four short double-helical elements and three loops (D, anti-codon, and T loops). Lineage: Bacteria; Bacillati; Bacillota; Bacilli; Thermicanales; Thermicanaceae. RNAcentral also lists the same sequence under 1 other name. The record is from RNAcentral.
GCCGGUGUAGCUCAAUCGGUAGAGCAACUGAUUUGUAAUCAGUAGGUUGGGGGUUCAAGUCCUCUCGCCGGCACCA